This 492-nucleotide ribosomal RNA is filed under the name uncultured bacterium. RNAcentral's name for it is "partial 16S ribosomal RNA". It matches the Rfam family "Bacterial small subunit ribosomal RNA", at positions 29 to 507 of the family's 1533-position model. The record is from RNAcentral.
AUUGAACGCUGGCGGCAUGCUUUACACAUGCAAGUCGAACGGUAACAGGCCUUCGGGUGCUGACGAGUGGCGAACGGGUGCGUAAUGCAUCGGAACGUACCCAGAGGUGGGGGAUAACGCAGCGAAAGCUGUGCUAAUACCGCAUGUGAUCUGAGGAUGAAAGCGGGGGACCGAGCAGCAAUGUUUGGCCUCGCGCCUUUGGAGCGGCCGAUGUCGGAUUAGCUAGUUGGUGGGGUAAAGGCCUACCAAGGCGGCGAUCCGUAGCUGGUCUGAGAGGACGACCAGCCACACUGGGACUGGGACACGGCCAAGACUCCUACGGGAGGAAGCAGAGGGGAAUUUUGGACAAUGGGCGAAGGCCUGAUGCAGCAAGGCGGCGUGCGGGAAGAAGGCCUUGGGGUUGUAAACCGUUUUUGGCAGGAACGAAACGGUGUCCGCUAAUACCGGGCGCUAAUGACGGUACCUGCAGAGUAAGCACCGGCUAACUACGUG